CCAAUAGCGUAUAUUAAAGUUGUUGCAGUUAAAAAGCUCGUAGUUGAAUUUCGGGGUUAGUAGAUUGGUCAUGCCUCUGGUAUGCACUGGUCUCACUGAUUCCUCCUUCCUGAUGAGCCGCAAUGCCAUUAAUUUGGUGUUGCGGGGAAUUUGGACUGUUACUUUGAAAAAAUUAGAGUGUUUAAAGCAAGCUAACGCUUGAAUACAUUAGCAUGGAAUAAUGAAAUAGGACGUUCGAUCCUAUUUUGUUGGUUUCUAGGAUUGACGUAAUGAUUAAUAGGGAUAGUGGGGGGCAUUAGUAUUCAAUUGUCAGAGGUGAAAUUCUUGGAUUUAUUGAAGACUAACUACUGCGAAAGCAUUUGCCAAGGAUGUUUUCAUUAAUCAAGAACGAAAGUUAGGGGAUCGAAGACGAUCAGAUACCGUCGUAGUCUUAACCAUAAACUAUGCCGACUAGGGAUCGGAUGAUGUUAAUUUUUUAAUGACUCAUUCGGCGCCUUACG
RNAcentral lists this ribosomal RNA (500 nucleotides) under uncultured Glomeromycotina. RNAcentral's name for it is "partial small subunit ribosomal RNA". It matches the Rfam family "Eukaryotic small subunit ribosomal RNA", at positions 591 to 1092 of the family's 1831-position model. The record is from RNAcentral. Lineage: Eukaryota; Fungi; Glomeromycota.